This 441-nucleotide ribosomal RNA is filed under the name uncultured bacterium. Its description in RNAcentral is "bacterial SSU rRNA". It matches the Rfam family "Bacterial small subunit ribosomal RNA", at positions 958 to 1398 of the family's 1533-position model. The record is from RNAcentral.
AACGCGAAGAACCUUACCUGGGUUUGACAUCCCCGGACCGCACUGGAGACAGUGUUUUCGUAGCAAUACGACCGGGAGACAGGUGCUGCAUGGCUGUCGUCAGCUCGUGUGGUGACAUGUUGGGUUAAGUCCCGCAACGAGCGCAACCCUUGUCCUUAGUUGCCAGCAUUCAGUUGGGCUCUCUAAGGAGACUGCCGUGGUGAACACGGAGGAAGGUGGGGAUGACGUCAAGUCCUCAUGGCCUUUAUAUCCAGGGCGACACACGUGAUACAAUGGACGGUACAGAGGGAAGCGAAGGAGCGAUCUGGAGCCAAUCUCAAAAAGCCGUUCUCAGUUCGGAUUGGAGUCUGCAACUCGACUCCAUGAAGUUGGAAUCGCUAGUAAUCGCGGAUCAGCACGCCGCGGUGAAUACGUUCCCGGGCCUUGUACACACCGGAGUGC